AUUGAACGCUGGCGGCAUGCCUUACACAUGCAAGACGAACGGUAACGCGGGGCAACCUGGCGACGAGUGGCGAACGGGUGAGUAAAGCAUCGGAACGUGCCCAGUAGUGGGGGAUAGCCCGGCGAAAGCCGGAUUAAUACCGCAUACGACCUAUGGGUGAAAGGGGGGGAUCGCAAGACCUCUCGCUAUUGGAGCGGCCGAUGUCAGAUUAGGUAGUUGGUGGGGUAAAGGCCUACCAAGCCGACGAUCUGUAGCUGGUCUGAGAGGACGACCAGCCACACUGGGACUGAGAAACGGCCCAGACUCCUACGGGAGGCAGCAGUGGGGAAUUUUGGACAAUGGGCGCAAGCCUGAUCCAGCCAUGCCGCGUGCGGGAAGAAGGCCUUCGGGUUGUAAACCGCUUUUGUCAGGGAAGAAAUCCUUUGGGUUAAUACCUCGGGGGGAUGACGGUACCUGAAGAAUAAGCACCGGCUAACUACGUGCCAGCCGCCGCGGUAA
This 498-nucleotide ribosomal RNA is filed under the name uncultured bacterium. RNAcentral's name for it is "partial 16S ribosomal RNA". It matches the Rfam family "Bacterial small subunit ribosomal RNA", at positions 29 to 523 of the family's 1533-position model. The record is from RNAcentral.